CUUUAUUUAAGGAGCCAAGCUGCACAACUCCCUGUGGAACAACAGCAGCAACAACAAUGGUCUACAAGGAAAAAUGACAAAUAUUUCUAUUAAUAGCUUAACCAUAUAGGGAAGGAAAAUAAACUUUAGGCAAAAGACUAUUGGAAUAAAAUGCAUUCACUCUCCACCAAAAAGAUUUGGACCUUUGACCUAGAAACAUGAUCAGUUAUUGACUUCCAUGUGUUGAACCAUGGAAAUCAUCAC
Hibiscus syriacus is the source of this 243-nucleotide long non-coding RNA. RefSeq lists it as uncharacterized. NCBI's taxonomy places the organism in Eukaryota, Viridiplantae, Streptophyta, Magnoliopsida, Malvales, Malvaceae. The record is from RefSeq and is a predicted model, not a curated record. The transcript is spliced from 2 exons.